This 423-nucleotide ribosomal RNA is filed under the name uncultured bacterium. RNAcentral's name for it is "bacterial SSU rRNA". It matches the Rfam family "Bacterial small subunit ribosomal RNA", at positions 358 to 773 of the family's 1533-position model. The record is from RNAcentral.
GGAAUAUUGCGCAAUGGGCGAAAGCCUGACGCAGCCAUGCCGCGUGUGUGAAGAAGGCCUUAGGGUUGUAAAGCACUUUCAAUGGGGAAGAAAAGCUGCUGCCUAAUACGCAGUAGCCCUGACAUUACCUUUCGAAGAAGCACCGGCUAACUACGUGCCAGCAGCCGCGGUAAUACGGAGGGUGCGAGCGUUAAUCGGAAUUACUGGGCGUAAAGCGCGCGUAGGCGGUUUGUUAAGUCAGCUGUGAAAGCCCCGGGCUCAACCUGGGAAUUGCAGUUGAUACUGGCCGACUAGAGUACGAGAGAGGGAGGUAGAAUUCCAUGUGUAGCGGUGAAAUGCGUAGAUAUAUGGAGGAAUACCAGUGGCGAAGGCGGCCUCCUGGCUCGAUACUGACGCUGAGGUGCGAAAGCGUGGGGAUCAAAC